RNAcentral lists this ribosomal RNA (253 nucleotides) under uncultured bacterium. RNAcentral's name for it is "partial 16S ribosomal RNA". It matches the Rfam family "Bacterial small subunit ribosomal RNA", at positions 524 to 776 of the family's 1533-position model. The record is from RNAcentral.
UACAGAGGGGGCAAGCGUUGUUCGGAGUUACUGGGCGUAAAGGGUGUGUAGGCGGUUUUCUAAGUUUGGUGUGAAAUCUCCCGGCUCAACCGGGAGGGUGCGCCGAAAACUGGGAGACUAGAGUGCGGGAUGGGAGAGUAGAAUUCCUGGUGUAGCGGUGAAAUGCGUAGAUAUCAGGAGGAACACCGGUGGCGAAGGCGGAUCUCUGGGCCUUGCCUGACGCUGAGGCGCGAAAGCUAGGGGAGCGAACAGG